This 253-nucleotide ribosomal RNA is filed under the name uncultured bacterium. RNAcentral describes it as "partial 16S ribosomal RNA". It matches the Rfam family "Bacterial small subunit ribosomal RNA", at positions 524 to 776 of the family's 1533-position model. The record is from RNAcentral.
GACGUAGGGCGCGAGCGUUGUCCGGAUUUAUUGGGCGUAAAGAGCUCGUAGGCGGCUUGUCGCGUCGUUCGUGAAAACCUGUGGCUCAACUACAGGCUUGCGGUCGAUACGGGCAGGCUGGAGUUCGGUAGGGGAGACUGGAAUUCCUGGUGUAGCGGUGAAAUGCGCAGAUAUCAGGAGGAACACCGGUGGCGAAGGCGGGUCUCUGGGCCGGUACUGACGCUGAGACGCGAAAGCGUGGGGAGCGAACAGG